This 535-nucleotide ribosomal RNA is filed under the name uncultured bacterium. RNAcentral's name for it is "bacterial SSU rRNA". It matches the Rfam family "Bacterial small subunit ribosomal RNA", at positions 1 to 520 of the family's 1533-position model. The record is from RNAcentral.
UAGAGUUUGAUCAUGGCUCAGAUUGAACGCUGGCGGCGUGCUUAACACAUGCAAGUCGAACGAGAAAGGGACUUCGGUCCUGAGUAGAGUGGCGCACGGGUGAGUAACGCGUAGGUAAUCUACCUCUGCAUCUGGGAUAACACUUCGAAAGGGGUGCUAAUACCGGAUACACUUAUGGGUCGCGAGACCUAUAAGGAAAGGAGACCUCUCCUUGGAAGUUUCUGUGUAGAGAUGAGCCUGCGUCCCAUUAGCUAGUUGGCAGGGUAAAGGCCUACCAAGGCGACGAUGGGUAGCGGGUCUGAGAGGAUGAUCCGCCACACUGGAACUGAAACACGGACCAGACUCCUACGGGAGGCAGCAGUGAGGAAUAUUGGACAAUGGGCGCAAGCCUGAUCCAGCGACGCCGCGUGAGUGAUGAAGGCCUUUGGGUCGUAAAGCUCUGUCAGCAGGGAAGAACGGCCGUGUGGUUAAUACCCAUGCGGAUUGACGGUACCUGCAGAGGAAGCACCGGCUAACUCCGUGCCAGCAGCCGCGA